CAGGUUGAUGCUUACUUAGCCUCCUGCCUGAUGAAGUUCUCAAUGGAAGUUUCAGUUGAUGGGACUCUUGAUCGAUGGAAACCACAGGAAUGGAGCAGAUACAUUUACGUUUCACAAGAAAUAAAGGUUGAGUCUUAUCGUAAUUAAAGAAAAGUUAUACUAGAAUGGUGUGGAGCAGAGUGAGGAUUCUUCUGAUUUGUGAUAUUCCCAUCAAACAAGGGUUUGGAGAAGAAAGCAGUGUGCAUCAUUCAAGAGUCCUCUGCCAGCAAGGCAGAUUUACUGUGUUUCUAACCAACCUUAAGUGCUGUGAAGGACAUGUAUAUGAACAUACACACAACUGAUUAAUUGUAAAAGGACAUAGAGUCAGUCAGGUGUUGGGAAGUACAAUACAACUUUCAGGAGAAGACAAGGAAACUGAAAACAAGUAUGGAUACUGUAGAUGAGUAAAUUUGAAGAAUUAGAAUGAGAAACAUAAGCAAGAAAGAGUUCAUCUACGGAUUCUAAUAUUCCUCCUAUUCAAGCACCAAGAUUUUAAACAUUUAUUUUGUUAUGCCAACACCUAGGAAAUUUGCCAUUAAAAAAUGAAUCAAAA
This is a long non-coding RNA of Mesocricetus auratus (golden hamster), 592 nucleotides long. RefSeq lists it as uncharacterized. The record is from RefSeq and is a predicted model, not a curated record. The transcript is spliced from 6 exons. Lineage: Eukaryota; Metazoa; Chordata; Mammalia; Rodentia; Cricetidae.